This is a long non-coding RNA of Cucurbita moschata (crookneck pumpkin), 797 nucleotides long. RefSeq lists it as uncharacterized. The transcript has 2 exons. The record is from RefSeq and is a predicted model, not a curated record. NCBI's taxonomy places the organism in Eukaryota, Viridiplantae, Streptophyta, Magnoliopsida, Cucurbitales, Cucurbitaceae.
CCAUAUUGUUCUCUAGUUUAGAGAUCUAACAAGCAGAUUUAAAAGUUGGGUAAUCUUCCACAACAAUAAUGUCUGUAGUGCCUUUCUUCGUAUCUUCACUUCAAUGAAAUAUUUUUAUGGAGUACGUGGAAUCCCGUGUGAAUCAACAAGCACCACCUUGUAAAGCUAUAUACUCAUGAAUGACUGAUAGUGGAGUAGUAACGUGAGGAAAGAGUGACAAAAACCCAUUGAAGAAUAAAAUAAAACAUGAAACCGUAAGCUUGCAAGCAGUAGAAAAAGAUCAUGAUUCUGACCGCGUGCCUGUUGAAGAAUGAGCCGACAACUCAUAGAGAGUGGCUUGAUCAACAGAACUUAACAAAGCUGUAGCGAAAGCAAGUCCUCGUAGAGCAAUUGUCACACGAGAUUUAAUUAUGCUUCAACACGAGUAUGCUUCCCAAGCUGCAAACCAGGUAUAUAAGGAGCAGCCACUGCAAGAGAUGUUGAAUGGCAGAAGGGCUUUGCAGUACAGUGACAAUUCAACUUCUGAAGCUAAUUUAUCCACAUCAAAGUAGAGGAGAACAAGUUGAUGUUGGAAAUCUAUAUCAAUUGGAGCAGGAAAUGAAGCAAUCUUUAUAAGAGUACGUAAACCUCUCCCUUGCAAAUGCAUUUUAAAACAAUUCAAAAGGGAAAGCCUAGUACGGACAAUAUAUGUGGACAUGGGCAAUUACCAUCCGAACUUAAUUCAAUCAUGUCUGUUUAGUGAGUUGUUCUACUGAAUUGACUCACAAUAUAAUUCCAGAAUUGUUAAAAGUAUCAAA